GACGAACGCUGGCGGCGUGCUUAACACAUGCAAGUCGAACGGAAAGGCCCUGCUUUUGUGGGGUGCUCGAGUGGCGAACGGGUGAGUAACACGUGAGUAACCUGCCCUUGACUUUGGGAUAACUUCAGGAAACUGGGGCUAAUACCGGAUAGGAGCUCCUGCUGCAGGGUGGGGGUUGGAAAGUUUCGGCGGGUGGGGAGGGACUCGGGGCUUAUCGGCUUGUUGGUGGGGUAGUGGCUUACCAGGGAUUUGACGGGUAGCGGCCCUGAAAGGGGUGCCGGCCACAUAGGGACUAAGAAACGGCCCAGACUCCUACGGGAGGCAGCAGUGGGGAAUAUUGCACAAUGAGCGGAAGCCUGAUCCAGCACCGCCGCGUGCGGGAUAACGGCCUUCGGGUUGUAAACCGCUUUCGCCUGUGACAGAGCGUGAGUGACGGUAAUGUGUAAAGAAGCACCGGCUAACUACGUG
This 468-nucleotide ribosomal RNA is filed under the name uncultured bacterium. RNAcentral describes it as "partial 16S ribosomal RNA". It matches the Rfam family "Bacterial small subunit ribosomal RNA", at positions 28 to 507 of the family's 1533-position model. The record is from RNAcentral.